This 254-nucleotide ribosomal RNA is filed under the name uncultured bacterium. RNAcentral's name for it is "partial 16S ribosomal RNA". It matches the Rfam family "Bacterial small subunit ribosomal RNA", at positions 524 to 776 of the family's 1533-position model. The record is from RNAcentral.
UACGAAAGGGGGCGAGCGUUGUUCGGAUUUACUGGGCGUAAAGGGCGCGCAGGCGGCAGACCAAGUCAGGCGACGAAAGCCCCGGGCUUAACCGUGGGAGGUGCGUCUGGGACUGGUAUGCUAGAGUUCGGGAGAGGAUCGCGGAAUUCCCGGUGAUAGAGGUGAAAUUCGUAGAUACGGGAGGAACACCGGUGGCGAAGCGCGAUCUGGGUCGAUACUGACGCUGAGGUGCGAAAGCGUGGGGAGCAAACAGG